AAAUUGAAGAGUUUGAUCAUGGCUCAGAUUGAACGCUGGCGGCAGGCCUAACACAUGCAAGUCGAGCGGUAACAUUUCAAAAGCUUGCUUUUGAAGAUG
Molecule: ribosomal RNA, 99 nt
Filed under: Vibrio parahaemolyticus
Lineage: Bacteria; Pseudomonadati; Pseudomonadota; Gammaproteobacteria; Vibrionales; Vibrionaceae
Description: partial 16S ribosomal RNA
Rfam family: Bacterial small subunit ribosomal RNA
Source: RNAcentral